CCCCGCCCUGGCCCCGCGCGUCCCCUCCCCCUGGGCCCCGAGGAGGGAGCGGCGCCGCCCGACCAGGUGUUAGACCCCGCCCCCUCGAUUACGUCAUUGAUCUACAAGAACAUGGACAGGUGGAAACGCGUCCGGCAGCGCUGGCGGGAGGCGGCGCAGCGGCAGCAGCAGCGCUACGGGCCCAGCCUGCGCCUGCUGCGAAUCAUCUACGAGCGGCAGUGAGGCCACGCCCACCCGGGACACGCCCACCCCGACCACGCCCACCUCCUCAUCGGCCACGCCCACUUCAACCACACCCGAGACCCCGCCCACGCCGGCCACGCCCACGCCGGCCCCGCCCCCUGCCAAUAAAAACGCCGCU
Molecule: long non-coding RNA, 361 nt
Organism: Melospiza melodia melodia
Lineage: Eukaryota; Metazoa; Chordata; Aves; Passeriformes; Passerellidae
Exons: 3
Source: RefSeq, a predicted model, not a curated record